ACCGACCUUAGCUCAGUUGGUAGAGCGGAGGACUGUAGUUGGUUUAAACAGACAUCCUUAGGUCACUGGUUCGAAUCCGGUAGGUCGGAAUUA
Molecule: transfer RNA, 93 nt
Filed under: Medicago truncatula (barrel medic)
Lineage: Eukaryota; Viridiplantae; Streptophyta; Magnoliopsida; Fabales; Fabaceae
Description: tRNA gene17001
Rfam family: tRNA
About the family: Transfer RNA (tRNA) molecules are approximately 80 nucleotides in length. Their secondary structure includes four short double-helical elements and three loops (D, anti-codon, and T loops). Further hydrogen bonds mediate the characteristic L-shaped molecular structure. tRNAs have two regions of fundamental functional importance: the anti-codon, which is responsible for specific mRNA codon recognition, and the 3' end, to which the tRNAs corresponding amino acid is attached (by aminoacyl-tRNA synthetases). tRNAs cope with the degeneracy of the genetic code in two manners: having more than one tRNA (with a specific anti-codon) for a particular amino acid; and 'wobble' base-pairing, i.e. permitting non-standard base-pairing at the 3rd anti-codon position.
Source: RNAcentral